RNAcentral lists this ribosomal RNA (889 nucleotides) under uncultured soil bacterium. RNAcentral describes it as "bacterial SSU rRNA". It matches the Rfam family "Bacterial small subunit ribosomal RNA", at positions 602 to 1501 of the family's 1533-position model. The record is from RNAcentral.
GCCAGGUUUAGCCUGAGUUAGGAGUGGAAACUAAGGGACUUGAAUCUAGGCAGGAGGAGGUGGGAGUUCUCGUGUUGCACGAAAAGUGUGAGAUGUGGAGGAGCACGCUGUGGAAGACAGCCCCAUGGAUGAGAUCUGCGUUCAGGCACGAAAGCUAGGGAGCAAACAGGAAUUAGAUACCCUGGUAGUCCAAGCCCCUAACGAUGUAAACUAGUUGUGGGAUACCCAUUUCUCAUACCGCAGCUUAAGCGAGAAGUUGUCCCGCCUGGGGAGUACGGUCGCAAGAUUGAAAACUCAAAGGAAUUGACGGGGACCCGCACAAGCGGUGGAUGACGUGGUUUAAUUGAUGCAACGCGAAUAACCUUACCUACCCUUGACAUGUACGGAAGCCCUCAGAGAUGGGGGUGUGCCCGAAAGGGAGCCGUAACACAGGCGAUGCAUGGCUGUAGUCAGCUAGUGUCGUGAGAUGUUGGGUUAAGUCCCGCAACGAGCGCAACCCUUGUCCCUAGUUGCUACGCAAGGGCACUCUAGGGAGACUGCCGGUGACAAACCGGAGGAAGGUGGGGAUGACGUCAAGUCUUCUUGGCCCUUAUGGGUAGGGCUUCACACGUCAUACAAUGGCCGGUACAGAGGGUUGCCAAAGCGCGAGCUGGAGCCAAUCCCAGAAAGCCGGUCGUAGUCCGGAUUGCAGUUUGCAACUUGACUGCAUGAAGUCGGAAUCGCUAGUAAUCGCGGAUCAGCAUGUCGCGGUGAAUACGUUUCCGGGUCUUGUACACACCGCCCGUCACCCCAUGGGAGCGGGAUGUACCAGAAGUAGGUAGGCUAACCGCAAGGGGGCCGCUUACCACGGUGCGUUUUGUGACUGGGGUGAAGUCGUAACAAGGUAACC